UUUCCUGUGGCUCAGUCAGUAGAGCAUUGUGCUUCCAAUGCAAAGAUCAUUGGUUCUCAUCCAGGGAAA
Danionella cerebrum is the source of this 69-nucleotide non-coding RNA. NCBI's taxonomy places the organism in Eukaryota, Metazoa, Chordata, Actinopteri, Cypriniformes, Danionidae. The record is from the annotation of a GenBank genome assembly.